Long non-coding RNA from Lacerta agilis (Sand lizard), 536 nucleotides. RefSeq lists it as uncharacterized. The record is from RefSeq and is a predicted model, not a curated record. Lineage: Eukaryota; Metazoa; Chordata; Lepidosauria; Squamata; Lacertidae. The transcript has 3 exons.
AAAACAAAAUUAUGAACUUUGUGCUUAUCGAUAGAUAUAUAGACAAUACUGUGGUGAUGCUGUUAAUUAAAUGCAGGUGGUUUUGUUUGAAAAUAAAACUGCUUCCUUGCACAGUAUAUAUUGGGAAGUCCUAAUAUAACCUCUAAAACGUGAAAAUGAUAGUCUAUGUAAAAUGGCUAAGUUGUGAAUUCAGCUCUUGAUGGUUAUAUGUCACUGAAGACUUUACUAGGAAAAUUAGUCAAAGGCCUCUCCAGGGACUUUGCAUUUUGCAACAGAUAAGAAAGCGGCAUUCAAAUGAGAAACUAAGCACAAUUCUUUUCAACAGGCAAUUUACCCCAUGACGAGAUAUGCUUUCACUUAUUUUUCUCUGACAUUCUCGCAUCUAGCAGCACAGCAGGGAUAACGUGUUGAAAUGAAACCUAAUAUUUGGAAAUGCAAAAUAAAAGCUGUAACGAGCUGUAUUUGAGCCCAUUAUGAAUGAAGUAAUCUAAAAAUGAAUUAUGAUGCCUCUGCCUUUACGAAAGUGAACACACCUG